UGUAAGCGUAUACCAAAGUUGUUGCAGUUAAAACGCUCGUAGUCGGAAUUUGGCAGUUCCGGAAGUGUGCACGUCGUGUGCGCACUUUGCGGGGACUGCUUUUGUGGUCUUGCGUAGGAUGAGGCACUUUCAUUAGUGAACGUCCUCACGCAACCACUCUUUACUGUGAGAAAAUCAGAGUGCUCAAAGCAGGCAUUUGCCGUGAAUGUAUUAGCAUGGAAUAAUAGAAUAGGACUCGGUUCUAUUUUGUUGGUUUGUUGGGACUGAGUAAUGAUUAAGAGGGACAGUUGGGGGCAUUUGUAUUCCGGCGCUAGAGGUGAAAUUCUUGGAUUGCCGGAAGACAAACUGCUGCGAAAGCGUCUGCCAAGGAUGUUUUCAUUGA
Molecule: ribosomal RNA, 382 nt
Filed under: uncultured eukaryote
Lineage: Eukaryota
Description: partial 18S ribosomal RNA
Rfam family: Eukaryotic small subunit ribosomal RNA
Source: RNAcentral